AGUGUAGUGGAUCAGCACGGCAGACCGGAUAUCUGUAUGUGCGGGUUCGAGUCCCGC
Molecule: non-coding RNA, 57 nt
Organism: Dictyocaulus viviparus (bovine lungworm)
Lineage: Eukaryota; Metazoa; Nematoda; Chromadorea; Rhabditida; Metastrongylidae
Source: Rfam